Molecule: ribosomal RNA, 780 nt
Filed under: Weissella confusa
Lineage: Bacteria; Bacillati; Bacillota; Bacilli; Lactobacillales; Lactobacillaceae
Description: bacterial SSU rRNA
Rfam family: Bacterial small subunit ribosomal RNA
Source: RNAcentral
CUUUGUGGUUCAACUGAUUUGAAGAGCUUGCUCAGAUAUGACGAUGGACAUUGCAAAGAGUGGCGAACGGGUGAGUAACACGUGGGAAACCUACCUCUUAGCAGGGGAUAACAUUUGGAAACAGAUGCUAAUACCGUAUAACAAUGACAACCGCAUGGUUGUUAUUUAAAAGAUGGUUCUGCUAUCACUAAGAGAUGGUCCCGCGGUGCAUUAGCUAGUUGGUAAGGUAAUGGCUUACCAAGGCGAUGAUGCAUAGCCGAGUUGAGAGACUGAUCGGCCACAAUGGGACUGAGACACGGCCCAUACUCCUACGGGAGGCAGCAGUAGGGAAUCUUCCACAAUGGGCGAAAGCCUGAUGGAGCAACGCCGCGUGUGUGAUGAAGGGUUUCGGCUCGUAAAACACUGUUGUAAGAGAAGAAUGACAUUGAGAGUAACUGUUCAAUGUGUGACGGUAUCUUACCAGAAAGGAACGGCUAAAUACGUGCCAGCAGCCGCGGUAAUACGUAUGUUCCAAGCGUUAUCCGGAUUUAUUGGGCGUAAAGCGAGCGCAGACGGUUAUUUAAGUCUGAAGUGAAAGCCCUCAGCUCAACUGAGGAAUUGCUUUGGAAACUGGAUGACUUGAGUGCAGUAGAGGAAAGUGGAACUCCAUGUGUAGCGGUGAAAUGCGUAGAUAUAUGGAAGAACACCAGUGGCGAAGGCGGCUUUCUGGACUGUAACUGACGUUGAGGCUCGAAAGUGUGGGUAGCAAACAGGAUUAGAUACCCUGGUAGUCCACACCGU